UUUUAGGAGCUAGCCGUCGAAGGUGGGACAAAUGAUUGGGGUGAAGUCGUAACAAGGUAGCCGUAUCGGAAGGUGCGGCUGGAUCACCUCCUUUCUAAGGA
RNAcentral lists this ribosomal RNA (101 nucleotides) under Escherichia coli. RNAcentral describes it as "partial 16S ribosomal RNA". It matches the Rfam family "Bacterial small subunit ribosomal RNA", at positions 1440 to 1533 of the family's 1533-position model. The record is from RNAcentral. Lineage: Bacteria; Pseudomonadati; Pseudomonadota; Gammaproteobacteria; Enterobacterales; Enterobacteriaceae. RNAcentral also lists the same sequence under 1 other name.